Molecule: non-coding RNA, 74 nt
Organism: Galeopterus variegatus (Sunda flying lemur)
Lineage: Eukaryota; Metazoa; Chordata; Mammalia; Dermoptera; Cynocephalidae
Source: the annotation of a RefSeq genome assembly
GGCUGGUUAGCUCAGUUGGUUAGAGUGUGGUGCUGGUAACACCAAGGUCCAGGGUUUGAUUCCUGUACCAGCCA